Molecule: ribosomal RNA, 439 nt
Filed under: uncultured bacterium
Lineage: Bacteria
Description: partial 16S ribosomal RNA
Rfam family: Bacterial small subunit ribosomal RNA
Source: RNAcentral
CUAGAUGCUGCAGCAGUGAGGAAUAUUGCACAAUGGGGGGAACCCUGAUGCAGCAACGCCGCGUGGAGGAUGACGCAUUUCGGUGUGUAAACUCCUUUUAUAUGUCAAGAAAAUGACGGUAGCAUAUGAAUAAGCACCGGCUAACUCCGUGCCAGCAGCCGCGGUAAUACGGAGGGUGCAAGCGUUACUCGGAAUCACUGGGCGUAAAGGACGCGUAGGCGGGUUGGAAAGUCAGGUGUGAAAUCCUACAGCUUAACUGUAGAACUGCACUUGAAACUUCUAAUCUAGAGUAUGGGAGGGGGAGAUGGAAUUAGUGGUGUAGGGGUAAAAUCCGUAGAUAUCACUAGGAAUACCUAAAGCGAAGGCGAUCUCCUGGAACAUUACUGACGCUAAGGCGUGAAAGCGUGGGGAGCAAACAGGAUUAGAUACCCUAGUAGUC